RNAcentral lists this ribosomal RNA (307 nucleotides) under Sinocoelotes pseudoterrestris. RNAcentral's name for it is "partial 12S ribosomal RNA". Lineage: Eukaryota; Metazoa; Arthropoda; Arachnida; Araneae; Agelenidae. The record is from RNAcentral.
AAACUAAUUUAGUUUGGCGGCAUUUCAUCUAUUUAGAGGAAUUUGUCCUUUAAUCGAUAAUCCACGUUAAAUUUUACUUUAAUUAAAAACUUAUAUACCGCCAUCUUAAGAAUUAAUUUAAAAAUAUUUCUCUAAAUAAUUUAUAAAAAGUUAGGUCAAGGUGUAAUCUAUAUUAAAGAAAAAGAUGAAUUACAUUAAAUAAUAUUUAAAGAUUAUUAAUAAACAUAUAAAUAUAAAUAAGAAUUUAAAAGUAAUUUAUAAACAAUAAUAAUAUAUGAUAAAGAUAAUAAAUGUGCACACAUCGCCC